GGGCCCGUAGCUCAGGAUGGCAGAGCGCCCGGCUCAUAACCGGGCGGUCGUGGGUUCAAGUCCCACCGGGCCCA
Molecule: transfer RNA, 74 nt
Filed under: Nitrososphaerota archaeon
Lineage: Archaea; Thermoproteati; Nitrososphaerota
Also listed under: 2 other names
Description: Thaumarchaeota archaeon (hot springs metagenome) tRNA-Ile
Rfam family: tRNA
About the family: Transfer RNA (tRNA) molecules are approximately 80 nucleotides in length. Their secondary structure includes four short double-helical elements and three loops (D, anti-codon, and T loops).
Source: RNAcentral